Suricata suricatta (meerkat) is the source of this 1243-nucleotide long non-coding RNA. RefSeq lists it as uncharacterized. The record is from RefSeq and is a predicted model, not a curated record. NCBI's taxonomy places the organism in Eukaryota, Metazoa, Chordata, Mammalia, Carnivora, Herpestidae. The transcript has 3 exons.
UCCUGGCCUCGGUUACCUCGGUUCGAAAUAGGACUAUCCGCGCGCGACCCGCGGGAGUCCCGGCCACCAGGUGGUGCGGGGACCUUCCCGAUGCGCUUGCUGCCCCACCGCAGACCCCCGCCUGGCUCUCCCGGGGCGGGUCGUCGGGUAUCACGCAGGCCCACCCCGCGGAGCGCCACCUCUCUCCGUGGUUCGGACGCAGUGGCGCUCCCGCCGCCCCUGUCCCCACCGACGAGCGUGUGACAGCGCCCCCUCCGGGUGGGGUCAAGAGUCAGGAGACUAGAGAUUAAAUGGAUGCGACAGAGCCAGUAAACGAAGAUGCUCAGGAAAGACUGACUCCAGCGAUCCUCCCUCGCCUCCGGCUUCCCUCCUCGGCCCUUCCACACAAUAACGCUGUGGGCAGACGACGUGUCUGUGAAAACCAUUCGCGUGAGUCAGCCCCACCCCUGCCUUCAGGAAAUUCGAGGGACACAGGGACACAGACCCGGAAGAGACCUGUUAUGACUCAGGGUGAUACAUGCCGAGACACAGGAGCUUUGGAGGCAGUGCCUGGCUGACCUGAGGACUAGGGCCUGGCCUGUGCUGGGAGCCGCCUGAGUAUCAGACCGAAGGUGCCACAAGGCGGGCAGUCAAAGGGACCCUCCCACCAGCCGGCCCUUUACAGAUGAGUAAACCGAGGCUCAGAGCUGAAGAGGGCCUUGCUGAAGUACACAAGAAUCAAAAGCAAAGCAGGGACAGGCCCCUGCUCUGUGACAACGUCUGAGUCUUAGCCCCUGUGUCGCACCCGGGGAGAUCUGGGACCUGGCUCUGCCCUCCUGGAUGCCAUCACGCCUGCCGGCUCCCUCCUCCCCAGGGCGAGGAUCAGAAAACUUACGUGUAGCCCAGGACUCAAUUGUGUGGAUGACACUAGCCCAGUGCCCCCAUUCGAGAGGUGAGGGGACUUACGCCAAAGUGGAGACGAGCCACCGGGCACCUGGACAGAGGCUGGAGAGCCCUGGCCGAGUAAUUCCCAAGUCCCCGAGGCCGGCCUCAACCGCAGAAACUGCCUUCAAGGCUUGUCCCUAGCACACGCAGCAGCCUCCCCAUCAUGCUCCUGUCAUAGCAGGAUAUUUGUCGGCAGUGGGGUGCCCUGGGUGGGAUCCUGGACCAGAAGAGGCACGUUAGGUAAACAGAGGAUCUGAAUAAACUAUGGACUUCAGUUAAUAAUCAUGUAUCAGGGGGCGCCUGGGGGGCCCAGACGGUU